This 1326-nucleotide small RNA is filed under the name Drosophila pseudoobscura pseudoobscura. RNAcentral's name for it is "GA31006". The record is from RNAcentral. Lineage: Eukaryota; Metazoa; Arthropoda; Insecta; Diptera; Drosophilidae.
GCCAAGGGAUGGCCCCCGCCACCCUUGAUGCAGCACAGUGUCGACACUAACCAUUUACCACUGUACCAUAUACAUAUGUACAUAUUGUUUUUAUGCAGCUUCCUUAUUUUACUAUCGAUACUCCCAGAAAAUCUUCCUCUGGGUCUGAACAUCCUUCAACUACAAAAACAACCUCCGACAUCUCAAACAUUUUACUUCAGACUAAUAUUGACUAGAAGAUCGAUGUAGUACGGCUUGGGCCGCUUGUUGGGCAGAUAACAAGUUAUUAAUUGAUACAUUAUUACAAGUUAUGAAUAAUAAACCUCAAAAUCUUUCGUCACUAAUAAGUAUUUCUUGUAGGGCGAGACAAGUGUCGGUUUGCCGACAGGGUCCCGCACAGUCCUACUAUUAUAGAAGUUAAUUGUACUCUUAACCAUUGUAGCAGUACUAUCGGCUAGUAACCACACAUAUUAUUGGUUCUUAAGAUCACUUUAAUUGGUUCAAAUAAAUUAGUUCUUCACCCCACUCUUGUGUACUCUCAGUACCAACAGAAAUGUAAAUAUACUCUCGUUGCAGAGAGCGCAUAGAAUAAAAAAGAGGAAAAUAAAAUUGAGAGCAAGAUCAGUUUUGGAUAGAGCGCUUACAAUAUUCUAAAAUAAAAUUUAAAUAACUAGUUUUUCAAAACUAUCAAAUCAAGUAGCUCUUGUUUAAUCUGUUACAAAAUACUAGUGUCAGAAGUUCAGUUAUUCAGUAUUCAAAACUAUCACCCAAAGGCAGAUAUACCCACAUAAUUGAAAAUGAAAAAUCCACUGUAUUUCCUUUUCUGGCUAAUUGUCUUGCUCUGGCUGUCGUUCUUUGUGGCCUUUUUCGGGGCCUUCUUCUAUAUCUGGACUUAUAUGUUCUCUCAAUGCAGUGACUGCUGCGAAGGUAUUGCUACAUUUUUCCUGAAGUGCGUUCAGUUUCCCGGAUACUGUGCUGCAGGUAUGAUGCAGUGCAAGAAACCGUGCUAGAAACCGACGAAGAUGCCAAGGGAUGGCCCAAGCCACCCUUGAUGCAGCACAGUGUCGACACUAACCAUUUACCACUGUACCAUAUGCAUAUGUACAUAUUGUUUUUAUGCAGCUUCCUUAUUUUACUAUCGAUACUCCCAGAAAAUCUUCCUCUGGGUCUGAACAUCCUUCAACUGCAAAAACAACCUCCGACAUCUCAAACAUUUUACUUCAGACUAAUAUUGACUAGAAGAUCGGUGUAGUACGGCUUGGGCCGCUUGUUGAGCAGAUAACAAGUUAUUAAUUGAUACAUUAUUACAAGUUUUGAAUAAUAAACCUCAAAAUCUUUCGUCACUAA